CCCCCGGGUCCAUGAUGCAGCCCCCCGGAUGAGGCCGCAGUAUUUUCCUUAUAUGAUCGGGCCCCAUGGCUGGCGGCGCCGCCGGCCCGGAGCCUGAGAGGAUUAUGAAAACGUAUCAGGCGAAAUGGGGCCAGGGACCCGGGG
RNAcentral lists this small nucleolar RNA (144 nucleotides) under Cervus hanglu yarkandensis (Yarkand deer). Its description in RNAcentral is "small Cajal body-specific RNA 17 (ENSCHYG00000013050.1)". It matches the Rfam family "small Cajal body-specific RNA 17". From Rfam's summary of the family: scaRNAs are a specific class of small nuclear RNAs which localise to the Cajal bodies and guide the modification of RNA polymerase II transcribed spliceosomal RNAs U1, U2, U4, U5 and U12. The complete human U12-22/U4-8 scaRNA is composed of two tandem C/D box domains (termed U12-22 and U4-8). The record is from Rfam by way of RNAcentral. Lineage: Eukaryota; Metazoa; Chordata; Mammalia; Artiodactyla; Cervidae.